RNAcentral lists this ribosomal RNA (450 nucleotides) under uncultured bacterium. Its description in RNAcentral is "bacterial SSU rRNA". It matches the Rfam family "Bacterial small subunit ribosomal RNA", at positions 329 to 795 of the family's 1533-position model. The record is from RNAcentral.
GGCCAGACUCCUACGGGAGGCAGCAGUGGGGGAUAUUGCACAAUGGGGGAAACCCUGAUGCAGCGACGCCGCGUGGGUGAAGAAGUAUUUCGGUAUGUAAAGCCCUAUCAGCAGGGAAGAAAGAAGACGGUACCUGACUAAGAAGCCCCGGCUAACUACGUGCCAGCAGCCGCGGUAAUACGUAGGGGGCAAGCGUUAUCCGGAUUUACUGGGUGUAAAGGGGGCGCAGACGGCAGCGCAAGCCAGGAGUGAAAGCCCGGGGCCCAACCCCGGGACUGCUCUUGGAACUGCGCGGCUGGAGUGCAGGAGGGGCAGGCGGAAUUCCUGGUGUAGCGGUGAAAUGCGUAGAUAUCAGGAGGAACACCGGUGGCGAAGGCGGCCUGCUGGACUGCGACUGACGUUGAGGCCCGAAAGCGUGGGGAGCAAACAGGAUUAGAUACCCGUGUAAUC